This is a long non-coding RNA of Ictalurus punctatus (channel catfish), 2474 nucleotides long. The record is from Ensembl. Lineage: Eukaryota; Metazoa; Chordata; Actinopteri; Siluriformes; Ictaluridae.
UAAAACACUCCGAUUUCUCCAAAGCCACUCCUUCCGAAAAGCCCAGAGUGCUCUGAUUGUCCAGCUGACCUGUUGCAUUGUGAUUGGCCAAAAACCUCAAGCAUGUGUCGGAAAUGUAACACCCCUUGGGUUAGCUCCAGUCUCCAAAGCUUCUAAAGCAAUCCUAAGCUCCUAAGCAACAUGUUUAAUUUUAUCAUAUCAGUUUGAGCCGUCCGAUUCAGAAAAUGUGGGUGAUCACGCGGAACCAACUUUGCAAACAUGACUUGUGCAGAGCAUUUCAGUGUUACCAUUGUGUGGGAUGAGCUGAGGAGUGGAUGGCUGGUAUAUGGUGAUUGCCUUGCGGAAUCUCCGAUGGGGGUCCGUGCGCAUAAAGGAAGCAAGAGGCAGACUGACUGUGGGGAGAGUGGGAUGUUUUGUGUUCAUUUUCUUUACUUUCUUAUUCAUAAUUGUGUAUUUCUUUCUUUAUUUUUCUUGAUUUAUUUGUUUCUAUCUUUAUUUCAAUUAUUCAGCUGGCCUUGUCUUUAAUGUUGUAUUUUGAGGUUUGUAGUGUUUUGUUUUCAUAUGCGUGUCUAAAGUGGACUAGUCCGUCUGUAUAAAUGUGCCUCUGUUGAUUUAUUUAAGUCAGUUUGGUUUAUCUGUGUGCUAUGACUUACUAAUUCAUUAAUCAGAGUUUCUAGUUAGUUAACAGUAGUUGCUAGAAUGUUAAUAUUGCGUUAUUCAUUUCUUCCUGUGUAGUUAAUCAUUAAUGACGGAUCAGUAUUCUAAAGUGUUACCACAUCAAGAUUAAGGAUUUCCAGUUGUAGGAUCACUUUCCCUUUUCUUCUCAUGGCUAUACAGUAAAGACACAAUGUAGGUGAUAUAAAUUUGAUUUUGAAGCAUUCUAAAGCAUUCAUCAUUCACUAACACUAGUUAAAUUGAAGUGCUUCAAUAGAAUAACCAUGCCACUGACACUGACAAGCUUUUCCUGCAAAUUGAUCACACAAGGUUUUUUCUUUCUUGUCCCCAGAAAAGUUAUGCCUCUUUUUUAUUCCCAUUGUGAAGCAGGAACUAUUUUUUCACUUUCUGUUUACUGAAUAUUGUGGAUCGUUUAUUGGCACACUGCCCCCUAGUGCAGACUCUCACUUCUACGAGCAGGUAUGACAGGCAGACACACCAUGAUGCCCUGGCGUGAUUGGAGAUUCACAGCCCCAGACAUAUACACAUGCAAACAAAUAGGCAUGCAUGUAUCAUGACAAAACACAGUUAACUCUAUCCCUGAAGUCAGUUAUGCAGUAAAAUAUAUUGGAAUGUGUCUAUCAGAUAGGACGAAGUGCUCCCGGUACGCCUGUCUUACAGACUAGAUGCUACAACACUAUUACCUCCAUACAUCAUGUGAAAUUAGCAGCAGGGGCCGCCGUCAGCCCAGACAUUGGCACUUAAUCUUGACUUUUUGGCAGACUGUUGCCAUAACGGGUCAAAUGACAGCCAUUAAUCAAAUGUCCCUGGAGCCAAGGGAGGGAGCAUGAGUGGAAAGUUGGGGGGGUGCAUGGCAUUGCCGCUAUGUAGAAAGCAUGAGCGCUGGUGGGAUUUGGAGGCAUGAAAACAAAAUGAAAGCUUCUCCUAGAAAUAAGCCUACUCAUAAACCCUAACCCAAGGAAAUAAUCCAGUCUAUUUCACAAAAGAUUAAGCCUCUUAAAUAAAAUGCAUUGCCUCAUUUUCUUUAUUUAGCAGGCUUAAUACUAGAUUAUGGAGAGAUGACUUGAAGUUGGGAAUUUGCAGGAAAUUUGCAGGGUCUGGAUAGCAGUUCAUGUUGAUAGAGUUUGUCUUUACACAGGUCGGCACAAGAGCUUUACUUUAUCCACAGGCCACACAUAUACUUGUGAUUGUAAUGUUACACCGAGCAAUUAAUGUGAGUCAUCCUUCUUUUAAUUUGCAUAACUGGAAAGAGGAUAUUCAGUAUUUAGGGAAAGAACAAAACAACAUAAAGCAUCUUAGUAAGUUAUUCGGGGACCACCACAAGCCACCAGAAGACUCUCAAUGCACCUUGGCAUUGAUAAUACCAGUCUCUGGAGCAGUACUAGAGGGACGGAAACAAUUCUUCCAACAGAUAUUUGCUGUUUUGAUUUGUUUUGAUGGCAGUGGAGAGCGAAUACAGAAUACCUUUGUAUUGAUUUGCAGUGACUCUUCUCUCUAAAGGAGACAAGUGGACCUAAACCAUGCCAGAAAAUUCCUCCCACAGCAUAAUAUACCAUGUUUUUUUUCCUUUAAUUUGUCAACCAUCUGUAUAUGCAGGAUGUCUCAGAAUACCAAAAAGUCUUUUUGGUCCAUAAUCUAUAGUAUACUAUGUAUAUUCCUGAUCAGCCAGGCAAAUACACACCAAAAAUCUCACUCUCAUACCCAAAGUGACACACACUGAUCUCUGUGGUUAGCCGUCCUGGUGGCUGUCAGGCUGUUGACAGACAAUUGCUGUCCCCUGAGUGAUUAAAGCAUGGAGC